This 617-nucleotide ribosomal RNA is filed under the name Paroster pallescens. Its description in RNAcentral is "partial 16S ribosomal RNA". It matches the Rfam family "Bacterial large subunit ribosomal RNA", at positions 1838 to 2783 of the family's 2925-position model. RNAcentral also lists the same sequence under 1 other name. The record is from RNAcentral. Lineage: Eukaryota; Metazoa; Arthropoda; Insecta; Coleoptera; Dytiscidae.
GAUUAGAAUUUGAGGUCUAACCUGCCCACUGAAUUAUUAAAUGGCCGCAGUAAUUUGACUGUGCAAAGGUAGCAUAAUCAUUAGUUUUUUAAUUAAAAGCUUGUAUGAAUGGUUGGACGAGAUAAAUACUGUCUUAAAAUAAUAAAUAGAAUUUAAUUUUUAAGUUAAAAAGCUUAAAUAUUUAUAAAAGACGAGAAGACCCUAUAGAUCUUUAUAUUAUUAUAUAUAUGUUUAAUUAAGAUUAUUUUAUUAUUUAUAUUUAAUAGUAUUUUAUUGGGGUAAUAAAAAGAUUAAAUUAAUUCUUUAUUUAUUAAAAUAUUAAUUAAUAGAUUUUUGAUCCUUUAUUAGAGAUUAUAAGAUUAAGUUACCUUAGGGAUAACAGCGUAAUUUUUUUAAAGAGUUCAUAUCGAUAAAAAAGUUUGCGACCUCGAUGUUGGAUUAAAAAUUAUUCUAGGUGUAGUAGUUUAGAAUUUUGGUCUGUUCGACCAUUAAAUUUUUACAUGAUCUGAGUUCAGACCGGCGUAAGCCAGGUCGGUUUCUAUCUUUAUUUAGUUAAUAUAUUUUAGUACGAAAGGACCAAAUAUAAAUUAUAAUUAUAAUUAAAAUUUUGAAUUAUA